AUUGGGCGUAAAGGGUGUGUAGGUGGCAGUGUUAGUCAAACGUUAAAGCCCGGAGCUUAACUCCGGAAGUGCGUUUGAAACGGCACAGCUAGAGGAUGCGAGGGAUGAAUGGAACUCAUGGAGUAGGGGUGAAAUCCGUUGAUAUCAUGGGGAACACCAAAAGCGAAGGCAGUUCAUUGGCGCACUCCUGACACUGAAACACGAAAGCGUGGGUAGCGAAUGGGAUUAGAUACCCCAGUAGUCCACGCCCUAAACGAUGACAACUAGCUUUUCGGAGUAUCGACCCUCUGAGAGGCGAAGCUAACGCGUUAAGUUGUCCGCCUGGGUAGUACGACCGCAAGGUUAAAACUCAAAGGAAUAGACGGGGACUUGCACAAGCAGAGGAUUAUGUGGUUUAAUUCGAUGAUAAACGAAAAACCUUACCAAGGUUUGAAACCUAACUGAAUAGAAGCAGAAACGUUUCUAGUCUCACAAGGACAGUUAGGCAGGUGAUGCAUGGCCGUCGUCAGUUCGUGAUUUGAAUUGUUCCCUUAAGUGGGGUAACGAACGCAACCCUCGUUGUCUGUUAUACGUAUCAGGCGAGACUGCCCAGCUUUUUGCUCGGAAGCAAAAAGCCAGUUAAAAGUUCAUAAAGUUAUAGAGUUCAUAAAGUAAAAUGCAUUUGCAUCUACUUUAAAAACUUUACAAACUUUCAACUUUAAAAACUUACUUUUUGAGCUUGCGCUCAAAAAGCUGGGAGGAAGGCGAGGAUGACGCCAGGUCAGCAUGUCCCUUUGAUACCUUGGGCUACACACAUAAUACAAUGGCGACCACAACGCGUUGCGACGGGGUAACCCUGAGCUAAUCGUAAUAAAAGUCGCCCCAGUUCAGAUUGGGGGCUGAAACUCGACCCCAUGAAGUUGGAUUUGCUAGUAAUCGCGGGUCAGCUAUACCGCGGUGAAUACGUUCUCAAGUCUUGUACUCACCGCCCGUCAACUCAAGGGAACCGGGAAUACCCGAAGUCUAGCGUAUGCUAGCCCACGGUAAAUUCGGUAACAGGGAGUAAGUCGUAACAAGGCACGGCUAGCGGAAGCUGGUCGUGGA
Molecule: ribosomal RNA, 1083 nt
Filed under: Parcubacteria group bacterium GW2011_GWC2_40_10
Lineage: Bacteria
Description: bacterial SSU rRNA
Rfam family: Bacterial small subunit ribosomal RNA
Source: RNAcentral